Long non-coding RNA from Humulus lupulus (European hop), 413 nucleotides. RefSeq lists it as uncharacterized. The transcript has 3 exons. The record is from RefSeq and is a predicted model, not a curated record. Lineage: Eukaryota; Viridiplantae; Streptophyta; Magnoliopsida; Rosales; Cannabaceae.
CACCAAUGUUAUUGGUACUGCAGAGUUAUACACAGUAUAUCCCUUUGCCAAUCAGUGACCUUGAUUCUUGGUUGAAGACACCCUCCAUUUAUGUUUUUGAUUGCUCUGCGGCUGGGGAAAUAUUGUGAAUGCUUUUAUUGAGCUUCAUGAUUUGGUUGCUUCUAGCUCCUCUGGAUCCACAAGGGAUUGCAUUCUACUUGGAGCUUGUGAAGCACAUGAGACACUUCCACAAAGUGCUGAAUUUCCUGUAGAUGUGUUUACGUCUUGUCUCACAACACCUAUUAAGAUGGCUUUGAGAUGGAUCUUGUAGGCAAAGGACACCAAGUGAAUUAGAUAGAGAGGUUAAGAACUUGAGGGUGGCAUUUACUGACAUGUUUUUGAAGCAUAACACUUUCAAAGAAACUGCAAAGCCA